UCAACUGUCAAUAUAUGUAAGAGUCUAUUUCUUCCCUGGGCCUCUCAUAGUGUUCCAUGCCAUAGCAAGCUGUGGCCCCGAACCAUUGCCUGGCUCUAUCAGUGGGCUUUGUGCACUGAAGCGGGUCACACAGUG
Molecule: small nucleolar RNA, 135 nt
Organism: Suncus etruscus (white-toothed pygmy shrew)
Lineage: Eukaryota; Metazoa; Chordata; Mammalia; Eulipotyphla; Soricidae
Product: small nucleolar RNA SNORA42/SNORA80 family
Exons: 1
Source: RefSeq, a predicted model, not a curated record